CAGUCGCCGCGGUAAUACGAAGGGGGCUAGCGUUGCUCGGAAUGACUGGGCGUAAAGGGCGCGUAGGCGGAUUGUUUAGUUAGGCGUGAAAUUCCUGGGCUUAACCUGGGGACUGCGCUUAAUACAGGCAGUCUAGAGUGAGGGAGAGGGUUGUGGAAUUCCCAGUGUAGAGGUGAAAUUCGUAGAUAUUGGGAAGAACACCGGUGGCGAAGGCGGCAACCUGGUCCUUGACUGACGCUGAGGCGCGAAAGCGUGGGGAGCAAACAGGAUUAGAUACCCCAGUAGUCCCUGUCUCUUAUCC
This 301-nucleotide ribosomal RNA is filed under the name uncultured bacterium. Its description in RNAcentral is "partial 16S ribosomal RNA". It matches the Rfam family "Bacterial small subunit ribosomal RNA", at positions 509 to 809 of the family's 1533-position model. The record is from RNAcentral.